RNAcentral lists this ribosomal RNA (451 nucleotides) under uncultured bacterium. Its description in RNAcentral is "partial 16S ribosomal RNA". It matches the Rfam family "Bacterial small subunit ribosomal RNA", at positions 28 to 523 of the family's 1533-position model. The record is from RNAcentral.
AGCGAACGCUGGCGGCAGGCUUAACACAUGCAAGUCGAGCGGGCAUCUCCGGGUGUCAGCGGCGGACGGGUGAGUAACGCGUGGGAACGUGCCUUCUGGUUCGGAAUAAAUCCGGGAAACUUGAGCUAAUACCGGAUACGCCCUUUUGGGGAAAGGUUUACUGCCGGAAGAUCGGCCCGCGUCUGAUCAGCUCGGUGGUGGGGUUACGGCCGACCGUGGCGACGAUCAGUAGCUGGUCUGAGAGGAGGCUCAGCCACACUGGGACUGAGGCACGGCCCAGACUCCUCAGGGGGGCAGCAGUGGGGGAUAUUGGACAAUGGGGGCAACCCUGAUCCAGCCAUGCCGCGUGAGUGAUGAAGGCCUUAGGGUUGUAAAGCUCUUUUAUCCGGGACGAUAAUGACGGUACCGGAGGAAUAAGCCCCGGCUAACUUCGUGCCAGCAGCCGCGGUAA